Molecule: ribosomal RNA, 176 nt
Filed under: Clostridium algidicarnis
Lineage: Bacteria; Bacillati; Bacillota; Clostridia; Eubacteriales; Clostridiaceae
Description: partial 16S ribosomal RNA
Rfam family: Bacterial small subunit ribosomal RNA
Source: RNAcentral
UAAAUUGAGAGUUUGAUCCUGGCUCAGGACGAACGCUGGCGGCGUGCUUAACACAUGCAAGUCGAGCGAAGUUAUUCCUUCGGGAAUAACUUAGCGGCGGACGGGUGAGUAACACGUGGGUAACCUGCCUCAUAGAGGGGGAUAGCCUUCCGAAAGGAAGAUUAAUACCCCAUAAC